CCUACGGGAGGCAGCAGUGAGGAAUAUUGGGCAAUGGGCGCAAGCCUGACCCAGCAACGCCGCGUGAAGGAAGAAGGCUCUCGGGUUGUAAACUUCUUUUCUCAAGGACAAAGCAAGUGACGGUACCUGAGGAAUAAGCCACGGCUAACUACGUGCCAGCAGCCACGGUAAUACGGAGGUGGCAAGCGUUAUCCGGAUUUACGGGGUGUAAAGGGCGAGUAGGCGGGACUGCAAGUCAGAUGUGAAAACCACGGGCUCAACCUGUGGCCUGCAUUUGAAACUGUAGUUCUUGAGUACUGGGGAGGCAGACGGAAUUCGUAGUGUAGCGGUGAAAUGCGUAGAUAUUAGGAGGAACACCAGUGGCGAAGGCGGUUUGCUGGACAGCAACUGACGCUGAGGCGCGAAAGCGUGGGGAGCAAACAGGAUUAGAUACCCUAGUAGUC
RNAcentral lists this ribosomal RNA (443 nucleotides) under uncultured bacterium. RNAcentral's name for it is "partial 16S ribosomal RNA". It matches the Rfam family "Bacterial small subunit ribosomal RNA", at positions 338 to 795 of the family's 1533-position model. The record is from RNAcentral.